AUUCUGCCCAAGCGGGGAAGGAUGAGAAGCUUCGACCAAGGUUCGACUCGAGCGCCAGCGAGAGAGCGUUGCCGCAGGCAACGACCCAAAGGGCGAAGCGCGCAGCGCUGAGUAAUCCUUCCCCCACCACCA
Molecule: small RNA, 132 nt
Filed under: Escherichia coli
Lineage: Bacteria; Pseudomonadati; Pseudomonadota; Gammaproteobacteria; Enterobacterales; Enterobacteriaceae
Description: RtT sRNA
Rfam family: RtT RNA
About the family: This family represents a bacterial cis-regulatory element known as RtT RNA. The exact function of RtT is unknown although it is thought that it may be involved in changing the cellular response in relation to amino acid starvation.
Source: RNAcentral